Molecule: transfer RNA, 95 nt
Filed under: Streptomyces tuirus
Lineage: Bacteria; Bacillati; Actinomycetota; Actinomycetes; Kitasatosporales; Streptomycetaceae
Description: tRNA-Ala
Source: RNAcentral
GUAGGUCGUGAUCCGCAGGCCGGGGAUCUCCGCCUUGGCGAGGUCGUCGACGGCCCUGAUGUCGCACAGGGCGUGUUCCACCCGCGCGAUCUCGC